AAUUGAUUUCCCUUUCUUUGCCCCAAGCAGAUAUCUACCCAUAAAGCCUCCACCUUUUCCUCGUCACACUCCACAUGCCUAAGAUUUGAUUUUAACUCAUGGUUGACAUAUAAACAUACCCCACCACCCUUCUUGUUUUUCCUAUCCUUCCUAAAUAACGUGUACCCAUUUAAAUUAACUGCCCAGUCAUGUGUCUCAUCCCACCAUGUUUCUGUUAUGCCUAUUAUAUCAUAUUGUUUAGUGUAUGCUAUUGCCUCUAGUUCCCCCAUUUUGUUAUAUAGGCUCCUUGCAUUAGUAAGCAUACAUUUAAUAUCAUGAGUCUUUUGUACUUUUUGUGAAUUAUCAAUAUUACAUACCUCCUCUGUUCUGAGCUUUCCCCUCCCCCCAUCUCCACCCCAUCCUAUCUCCAUUGUCUAGAUUGCUUUGACCCUCCCCCCUACCACUAGUUUAAAAUCUCCUCCAACCUUCUAGCCAUCCUAUCCCCCAGCGCAGCAGACCCUCUUCCGUUUAGGUGCAAUCCAUCAGGUUGUACCCAAGCGCAAAAUCAGCCCAGUGCUCUAAAAACCCAAAACCCUCUUUCCUGCACCAAGACUUUAGCUACGCAUUGACCUCUCUAAUCUCCCGCUGCCUUUCUGCUGUAGCGCGCGGCACAGGUAAUAUUUCUGAAAAAAUUACCUUGGAGGUCCUUUUCUUUAGCUUACUUCCUAGUUCCCUGAACUCAUUCUUUAGGACCUUCCAUUUUCCUCUGACUUUGUCAUUGGUACCAAUAUGGACCAUGGCAGCUGGGUCAUCUCCAGCCCCUCCCAAUAAUCCCUCCACUCUGUCGGCAACAUGCCAGACCCGAGCACCCGGGAGACAGCAAACUGUCCGGUUGAGUCGAUCAGAGUGGCAGAUUACUCUAUCUACUCUCUUAAUAAUAGAGUCCCCUACCACCACAACCUGUCUAGACAUCCUUACCCUCUCAACCCCACCCGUACUAGAGCGGCUGUUUCCACGGCUGUUAGCAGGAACAGCUUCCUGCAGUACAGCUACUCCUGAGCUGAUGCUCCCAACUUCUUCACUCAAACGGGCAAAUCUGUUAGGCUGCAUGAGAUCAGGACUAGCUAAACCUUUUCUCUUCCCUCCCCCCCGCUUCCUCGCCCCACUGUCACCCAGCUACGUUCCCCAUCUGUCGUAUCUCCUCCCUCUCCACUACCUGUCCCCACUAAACUCUGCUCAGUGAGCAGCAGACUCCUCUCAAGAUUGUCAAUCUCUCUCAGUGUUACAAUUUGCCUCUCCAGAUCUCUAAUCUGAGCUUCCAGAAAUGCCACUCGCUCACACCCACCACAGAGGUAUGGACCCUGGAUAGAAUCAUCCAGGCAUGCAUACAUGGGGCAUGAUGUGCACUGAGUUAAACUCACAAUCUUGCUAGCACUCAUCUCCAGUUACAAAAAACACAAGGGAGCAAAAACAAUAUUAACCCUCUUGAUUUAAACUCCCUUGUAGUUUCAACUCCUGUUUUAACUCCUACUUAAAAGAGACUACUUGAAAUUGGCUACUUUCAAGCAAACUCCAGUGAGCAAGCUCUGUGAGUCAGUAGUGGGUUUAUAUUGGCAAUACAAAUCCCACACAGGUGGAAAUUAAGGGGCACUCCCCCUAAUUAGCUCAGCAGCAGCACCCACAAGGAGGGGAAUAGAAACAACGAGAG
RNAcentral lists this long non-coding RNA (1687 nucleotides) under Pelobates cultripes (western spadefoot toad). Lineage: Eukaryota; Metazoa; Chordata; Amphibia; Anura; Pelobatidae. The record is from RNAcentral.